GAUGAACGCUGGCGGCGUGCCUAAUACAUGCAAGUCGAGCGAACAGAUAAGGAGCUUGCUCCUUUGACGUUAGCGGCGGACGGGUGAGUAACACGUGGGUAACCUACCUAUAAGACUGGAAUAACUCCGGGAAACCGGGGCUAAUGCCGGAUAACAUGUUGAACCGCAUGGUUCUACAGUGAAAGACGGUCUUGCUGUCACUUAUAGAUGGACCCGCGCCGUAUUAGCUAGUUGGUGGGGUAACGGCCUACCAAGGCGACGAUACGUAGCCGACCUGAGAGGGUGAUCGGCCACACUGGAACUGAGACACGGUCCAGACUCCUACGGGAGGCAGCAGUAGGGAAUCUUCCGCAAUGGGCGAAAGCCUGACGGAGCAACGCCGCGUGAGUGAUGAAGGUCUUCGGAUCGUAAAGCUCUGUUGUUAGGGAAGAACAAAUGUGUAAGUAACUGUGCACAUCUUGACGGUACCUAACCAGAAAGCCACGGCUAACUACGUGCCAGCAGCCGCGGUAAUACGUAGGUGGCAAGCGUUAUCCGGAAUUAUUGGGCGUAAAGCGCGCGUAGGCGGUUUUUUAAGUCUGAUGUGAAAGCCCACGGCUCAACCGUGGAGGGUCAUUGGAAACUGGAAAACUUGAGUGCAGAAGAGGAAAGUGGAAUUCCAUGUGUAGCGGUGAAAUGCGCAGAGAUAUGGAGGAACACCAGUGGCGAAGGCGGCUUUCUGGUCUGCAACUGACGCUGAUGUGCGAAA
RNAcentral lists this ribosomal RNA (748 nucleotides) under Staphylococcus pseudintermedius. RNAcentral's name for it is "bacterial SSU rRNA". It matches the Rfam family "Bacterial small subunit ribosomal RNA", at positions 28 to 758 of the family's 1533-position model. The record is from RNAcentral. Lineage: Bacteria; Bacillati; Bacillota; Bacilli; Caryophanales; Staphylococcaceae.